GGACCUUGAAGUAAAAAUAUUAUCUAAGUUCUAUCUGUUCUUAGCAGUUUAAUAUCUGAUAUGUCCUUUAUUUGAGGACUGGAUAUGAAAUUGAUUUUUGAAACGGGGAUGGAAUAGGAGCUUGCACAAGCAAACAGAGCAGGCUGUGUCCCUCACACGUGCACAGCAAUGACUGCACUAAUC
Small nuclear RNA from Mauremys mutica (yellowpond turtle), 183 nucleotides. RefSeq annotates it as U2 spliceosomal RNA. The transcript has a single exon. The record is from RefSeq and is a predicted model, not a curated record. NCBI's taxonomy places the organism in Eukaryota, Metazoa, Chordata, Testudines, Geoemydidae.